AAAACUUUACAAGACCCAUUUGCUAUACUUACAGGUUAUACUUGGGUUAGUCUUGAAUCAAAGAAGAGGAAACAAGAGAAACAAAAACCUAAAAAGAGUGGUAAAAAAGCAGAGCAAGUUAGCUCUUGAUUCUUUUUUUUUUUUUUGGUUCAUCAUUAUUUUGUAACAUAAAUUUAGACAUUUGUAAUGAUUAUACUUUCAUUUCGAGUGGGUUUAUUCCUUAAUUUUAUUUGAAGUGUGAUGUAACCAACUUCAUUCGUUCUGCUUCAUUUGGCAAAGUGUGUUAUGAUGACUUGCGAGAGAAAGGUUUUAGACCACCGGUUCUUAGUAAACCAGUCCGGUUUCUUAAUAGACAAUAAAGGCAAGUGUUGGUUCUCGAGCCCGACUGCUUCUGCUCUCCAUCGGUCUUGAUCACAUCGGGCAAGUGUUGACCGUAGGCUGGUUUUGCAGAAAAUUCCCGAGAGACUAGCGGUCUUCUCCAUCGGCCAAAGACAAGCCGUAUCAUAACAAUGGCUCGUGCAUCGGCGAAGUCUCCACCCAGGUAUAAGUCAACCUCUUCUCUUUGACCGGUCUGCUCCGGUUUAAAUCAAGUGAACCAGUGUAAUUACAAAUCGAUUUUGCCGGUUUUCUCUUCUUCAUCCUCCUUCCCCAAAUCGAUUUCUUCCCCUCUCCACUUUCACGGCUCCUUUCUCUUUCACAACACACACAUCGAUCUCUCUCAAUUCUCCACCAAAAUCUUUGAAAUUUUGUGCUUUCAAUCCGAAAUCCUUAGCCCAUUCGAUUAAUUCCUGUACCAAAUCCCAAUUCUAUCUCUUUCUCCGUCGAUUUCAAGACGUAGGAGGAGAGUAAAUAAGAGCCUCAUCUAUGGAGAGUAAUGCAAAAAAGAAUUCUAGUGACGAUGGUCAACAACAUGACAUUGCUAUUGUCGGUGGUGGAAUGGUUGGAAUCGCUUUAGCUGCUUCAUUGGCAAGCAAGCCAUUGACAAAGCACUUGAAUGUGGCUAUCAUUGACAAUAA
This is a long non-coding RNA of Arabidopsis lyrata subsp. lyrata, 1016 nucleotides long. RefSeq lists it as uncharacterized. NCBI's taxonomy places the organism in Eukaryota, Viridiplantae, Streptophyta, Magnoliopsida, Brassicales, Brassicaceae. The transcript is spliced from 3 exons. The record is from RefSeq and is a predicted model, not a curated record.